RNAcentral lists this ribosomal RNA (460 nucleotides) under uncultured bacterium. RNAcentral describes it as "partial 16S ribosomal RNA". It matches the Rfam family "Bacterial small subunit ribosomal RNA", at positions 338 to 795 of the family's 1533-position model. The record is from RNAcentral.
CCUACGGGAGGCAGCAGUGAGGAAUAUUGGUCAAUGGACGCAAGUCUGAACCAGCCAUGCCGCGUGCAGGAAGACGGCUCUAUGAGUUGUAAACUGCUUUUGUACGAGGGUAAACGCAGAUACGCGUAUCUGUCUGAAAGUAUCGUACGAAUAAGGAUCGGCUAACUCCGUGCCAGCAGCCGCGGUAAUACGGAGGAUUCAAGCGUUAUCCGGAUUUAUUGGGUUUAAAGGGUGCGUAGGCGGUCGGAUAAGUUAGAGGUGAAAUCCCGAGGCUCAACUUCGGAAUUGCCUCUGAUACUGUUCGGCGAGAGAGUAGUUGAGGUAGGCGGAAUGUAUGGUGUAGCGGUGAAAUGCUUAGAGAUCAUACAGAACACCGAGUGCGAAGGCAGCUUACCAAGCUACUUCUGACGUUGAGGCACGAAAGCGUGGGGAGCAAACAGGAUUAGAUACCCCUGUAGUC